This 773-nucleotide ribosomal RNA is filed under the name uncultured Neocallimastigales. RNAcentral's name for it is "partial large subunit ribosomal RNA". It matches the Rfam family "Eukaryotic large subunit ribosomal RNA", at positions 22 to 647 of the family's 3401-position model. The record is from RNAcentral. Lineage: Eukaryota; Fungi; Neocallimastigomycota; Neocallimastigomycetes; Neocallimastigales.
GUACACGCUGUGACUAGCAUAUCAAUAAGCGGAGGAAAAGAAACUAACAAGGAUUCCCCUAGUAACGGCGAGUGAAGCGGGAAGAGCUCAAAUUUGAAAUCUUAAAGGGUUUCCCUUUACGAAUUGUAGUUUAAAGAAGUGUUUUCUGUUGAGGUUUUGGUAAAGUUCUUUGGAAUAGGACAUCAUAGAGGGUGAGAAUCCCGUAUUUGACCUUUACUUUCAACUUUGUGAUACACUUUCAAAGAGUCGGAUUGUUUGGGAAUGCAGUCCAAAAUGGGUGGUAAAUUUCAUCUAAAGCUAAAUAUUGGCGAGAGACCGAUAGCGAACAAGUACCGUGAGGGAAAGAUGAAAAGAACUUUGAAAAGAGAGUUAAACAGUACGUGAAAUUGUCAAAAGGGAAGCGUUUGACACCAGUGUUGUUUUUCUGAAAAUCAAUUAAAGAACUGUUUAUGCUAAGCUGUUUAGACUUUAUCAGCUAUCUGUUUAGUUUUGAGCUUUUCUUUAAUGCACUUUUCAGUUAACAAGUCAACAUCAAUUUCUUUUGCUGUAAAAAAGCUUGAGGAAGGUGGCUUGAGAUUCGUCUUAAGUGUUUAUAGCCUCUUGCCUAUGCAGUCGGAGAGAUUGAGGUCUGCAGCGUAGAUCCUUCGGGGCUAAAUGCAUUUGUGCUAAGUUAUAGCAUUUCAUAGACAACUUGUUGACUAUGAUUUGUCUUGUAGCUUACUCGCUUAUGUUAUUUUACCUACGCUUAGGAUGUUGACGAGACUGUCGAUCUC